CACUCCUACGGGAGGCAGCAGUAGGGAAUCUUCCACAAUGGGUGCAAACCUGAUGGAGCAAUGCCGCGUGAGUGAAGAAGGUCUUCGGAUCGUAAAGCUCUGUUGUUAGAGAAGAACACGUGCUAGGUAACUACUAGCGCCUUGACGGUAUCUAACCAGAAAGUCACGGCUAACUACGUGCCAGCAGCCGCGGUAAUACGUAGGUGACAAGCGUUGUCCGGAUUUAUUGGGCGUAAAGGGAGCGCAGGCGGUCUGUUUAGUCUAAUGUGAAAGCCCACGGCUUAACCGUGGAACGGCAUUGGAAACUGACAGACUUGAAUGUAGAAGAGGAAAAUGGAAUUCCAAGUGUAGCGGUGGAAUGCGUAGAUAUUUGGAGGAACACCAGUGGCGAAGGCGAUUUUCUGGUCUAACAUUGACGCUGAGGCUCGAAAGCGUGGGGAGCGAACAGGAUUAGAAACCCUGGUAGUCCCAUGA
This 474-nucleotide ribosomal RNA is filed under the name uncultured organism. RNAcentral describes it as "partial 16S ribosomal RNA". It matches the Rfam family "Bacterial small subunit ribosomal RNA", at positions 334 to 800 of the family's 1533-position model. The record is from RNAcentral.